RNAcentral lists this ribosomal RNA (580 nucleotides) under uncultured bacterium. Its description in RNAcentral is "bacterial SSU rRNA". It matches the Rfam family "Bacterial small subunit ribosomal RNA", at positions 102 to 674 of the family's 1533-position model. The record is from RNAcentral.
ACGGGGUAGGAAUACGUAGGUAACGUACCCUCGGGGCGAGGACAGCCACGGGAAACUGUGGGUAAUACUCGAUAAACUUCCCAAUCAUUAUGGAAGGGGAAGCAAUGGGUGUGAUUCCACCUGAGGAGCGGCUUACGCAGUAUCAGCUAGUUGGUGAGGUAACGGCUCACCAAGGCUACGACGCUUAGGGGGUGUGAGAGCAUGGCCCCCACCACUGGCACUGAGACACUGGCCAGACGCCUACGGGUGGCUGCAGUCGAGAAUCUUCGGCAAUGGACGCAAGUCUGACCGAGCGACGCCGCGUGUGGGAUGAAGGCCUUCGGGUUGUAAACCACUGUCAGAGGGGAUGAAGUGUACGAGAGUUAUCUCUUGUAUUUGACAGAGCCUCAGAGGAAGCACGGGCUAAGUUCGUGCCAGCAGCCGCGGUAAUACGAACUGUGCGAACGUUAUUCGGAAUCACUGGGCUUAAAGGGUGCGUAGGCGGUUAUCUAAGUCAGGUGUGAAAUCUCUCGGCUCAACCGGGAAACUGCGCUUGAAACUGGAUGACUGGAGUGAUGCAGGGGUGUGUGGAACUCCCGGU